UAUUUGUUGUAUAGAAGCAUUGUUAGCUGUACAUGUCUGCCUGGCAUGGUUCAUCUGACCUUGACCUCAUUUUCAUGGUUCAUUGGUCUUUGUUUAGUUAUUUUGGUUAAUGUUAAGUUUAUGAGACAGUUGUAAUAAAGCUUUAUACUUAGGACUAUCAACAUAAUAUCAAUGAUUAGUAUAGAAGGCGAGACAUUUCAGCGUGUUCACUCU
This 213-nucleotide long non-coding RNA is filed under the name Mytilus galloprovincialis (Mediterranean mussel). Lineage: Eukaryota; Metazoa; Mollusca; Bivalvia; Mytilida; Mytilidae. The record is from RNAcentral.